Molecule: ribosomal RNA, 865 nt
Filed under: Meloidogyne artiellia
Lineage: Eukaryota; Metazoa; Nematoda; Chromadorea; Rhabditida; Meloidogynidae
Description: eukaryotic LSU rRNA
Rfam family: Eukaryotic small subunit ribosomal RNA (bases 1-196)
Source: RNAcentral
UUGAUUUACGGUCCUGCCCUUUGUACACACCGCCCGUCGCUGCCCGGGACUGAGCCAUUUCGAGAAACUUGGGGACUGUCGAUUGUCGGUGCGUUCGCGCAUCGCCUUUCGUUAGAAACCAAUUUAAUCGCAGUGGCUUGAACCGGGCAAAAGUCGUAACAAGGUAGCUGUAGGUGAACCUGCUGCUGGAUCAUUACACUUUACCAUGUGAUGGUUACAUUUCGAAAGUGCCAAAACACACUAUUAUUUAUUAAGUGUUGUGUUUUGUACGCGCAGCUCUUUCCGCUGUGGAACGGCUGGCGCUGGUGUCUGCGCGUUGUUGAGCAGUUGUGUUUUGCCUUGUCCGUGGCUGUGCUGAGACAACGUGUUAGGACCUGUGCGUGUUGAUAUACGCCUGGUUUAAGACUUAAUGAGCCCAUGAGACGGGACGCCAGCAUUUCUUUUUUCCAUUAUAUUUUUUUGUGCCUAGAAAAAAAUUCUAGCCUUACCGGUGGAUCACUCGGUUCGUGGAUCGAUGAAGAACGCAGCUAGCUGCGAUAUUUGGUGCGAACUGCAGAAACAUUGAGCACUAAAAAUUUGAAUGUAAAUUUCUCCAUUGGAGUCAUAUCCUCUGGAACGUCUGGUUCAGGGUCUUAUCUUAACAAACAACACAACAUUGUUUUGAUUGAAACAUUUUGUUCGCAGGGAAUUGCUUUCUGUGUCAUGCACACUACUUCGUGCGUGUUUUAUGUGUGCAUGUGCCGCAAGCAAUUUUUCUUUCAAUUUUUGACCUGAACUCAGUCGUGAGCACCCGCUGAACUUAAGCAUAUCAGUAAGCGGAGGAAAAGAAACUAACAAGGAUUCCCUUAGUAACGGCCGAGUGAAA